RNAcentral lists this ribosomal RNA (3155 nucleotides) under Triticum aestivum (bread wheat). Its description in RNAcentral is "partial small subunit ribosomal RNA". Lineage: Eukaryota; Viridiplantae; Streptophyta; Magnoliopsida; Poales; Poaceae. The record is from RNAcentral.
AGACGACACACACAGAAAUGGAGAGGUGUGUGAGGCGGAGGUGUUCCCCAUCCUCCUCUCGCCUUAUCCCUCUCCCCCCCUCCUCCUCCUCCUUUUCCCCUUCCCCGCUCGACCCACCCCACCGCGCCGGCGAUGAUGUCGAUCACCUCCACCGCCGCCGCCGGGACCCCGGUCUGCCGGCCGUCCGUCUCCAGGGGUGGACGGCGGAGCAGGUGCGCCGUCCGAGCCCAAGCGGCCGGAGACGGUGGAGCCGCCGCCGACGGGGCGUCGUCGGAGCAGAAGUCUCUGGAGAUAAUGCGCAAGUUCUCGGAGCAGUACGCCCGCCGCUCCAGCACCUUCUUCUGCUCCGACAAGUCCGUCACCGCCGUCGUCAUCAAGGGCCUUGCUGACCACAAGGAUCAACUCGGAGCACCUCUCUGCCCCUGCAGGCAUUACGACGACAAGGCCGCCGAGGCCGCGCAAGGGUUCUGGAACUGCCCGUGCGUCCCCAUGCGAGAAAGGAAGGAGUGCCAUUGCAUGCUUUUCCUUACGCCCGACAACGAUUUUGCCGGAGAGGACCAGGCCAUCAGCUUGGAGGAGAUCAAGGAGGCGACGUCCAAGUACUAACCACAUAACACUUGUUUUGCUCGAGAGGGGGCUAUAGUCAGUCGUCGUUGUCGGGACCUGUGUAUGUAGUAUCUCUGUAACAACAGGAAAUAAGAAAUGUCUGUCUGGAAUGAUGUCUGUUGUCAUCCAUCUUGAGAGAAGUUAAGGCCUGAUGGUUGCACUCCCGACUCGUCAAUGUUACGAUUUAUUGCGUGUUUGGGCUGGCGUAAAGCGUACUCCAUGAGAAGUGAAGGAAGGAUGUUGUGUGAGACGUCGUCUCUGAUGCUUCUUUUUCUUCCUGAAUGAAUGAUGUGUGGGAGGGAAGCAACAGCAACGCGCCAUUGCCCAUGUCCAUGGCACCCAACAACUCAUCUUUUCAAUGUUAUUAUUGUUAUGUCUUUUUAUUAUGCAUCUGUGUGUUGCUUUUGCAACCACACUUGUUAUAUACAUGCGAUUCGCCUCCACGUGACGUCGAUGAUGAUUCGCUCCAUGUGACGUCGAUGAUAUGAUGACCGAGCGUUUGAUCGAAACCGAAAAACCAAGCUCAAGCUCAUUUUCCAGUUAACCGAUCAACAGUACUAUUUGGUCUACAAGAAUUGUGUUGUUUGUUAUGCAUCUCUGUGUUGCUUUUGCAACCACACUGUUAUAUAUCCAUGCGAUUCGCUCAACGUGGGCGAUGGAGCGGCGGCAGAAGGAACGGAGGAACCCUAGCUAGCCAGGCAAUUACCAGUGGGUGAUGGUGAGUGAGGACUGGGGAGGAGGAGUGGUUGCAGUUAGGCCAAGCUAGAUAGGUAGUAGAAGUCCAUCACUCACUAUCAAUGGAAGGGGAGGGCACCCACCAAUUCAAUCAAUCAAGCUCACUCACUGACUUAAGUGUGUGUGUGUGUGUAGCUUGUGUGCUGCUUCUUCAUCUUUUCUCCCUUUCCCACGGCUCCAUCCAUUAUUAUUCGUCACUGUCCGGGUUUUAUUGCUGCAGCAGUACAUAAACAUUACAAAUAAUUGUUAUCUCGUUGUUACAAAUGCGAUGCAUCCUGCUGUGGCCUCUUGUUAAUCAUCCAUCCAUCCAUCCUUUGGGGUGCUUGUUUGCCAUGGCUCCUCAUCUGGAGAAGAACAAGGACGACGCCGCGACCACGCCGACCAUGGAGGAGGAAGAGGGGGAGCAUCAUUGUCAUGGCGACCGGCCGCUGCUCUCGGCGUGUGAGCAGGAGCAGCAGCAGGAACAGGAUGCCGACAAGCCAUUGCCAUUGCCGGCGAAGAGGAGGAGCAGCAGCCUGAGCAGAUCGUCAAGAUCAGGCGAGCAGGGGCGGGAUGAGGAGGCGGUUGGGCCCGGCGGCGCCGCACGGUCGCUGUCCUUCUCCAGGCUCUUCAACAGCUUCAGGAUGAUGGCCACCUCCACCACCUCCACCACCUUGGACAUUGACGAGCUAGCAGCCGCUGAAGACGGCUGCGCAGCUCUCAACCCUCAGCAGCAGCAGCAGUGGAAGCCGGUGUGCCGGACGCAGUCGAUGCCGAUGACGAGCAUUUCCAGGAGGCUCCCCGCUCAUGGCAGCAGGAAGCGGGUGGCGGACUCGAGCUCCCUGCGCCGGUUCCGGGUGUCGUCGCUGUCGUCGGCGGCGCCCGCGCCAUUGCCGGAAUCGUCGUCGCCGCCCUCUUCGCCAUCACCGUCGGAAGAAGAGGAGGUGGGGGAGGAGGAGGCGGUGUGCCGGAUCUGCAUGGUGGCGCUGCUGGAGGAGGAGGAGGAGGAAGGAGGGGCAGCAGGGGCCGGCGACGGCGUGCUGAAGCUGGAGUGCCGGUGCAAGGGCGAGCUGGCGCUGGCGCACCGCCGCUGCGCGCUCAAGUGGUUCGGCAUCAAGGGCAACCCCAACUGCGACGUCUGCGGCCACGACGUCCUCAACCUCCCCGUCACCCUCCGCCGCGUCGCCGCCCCUCCCCCUCCUCCUCCCGUCGCCGCCGGCGACAAUGGCACCGGCAGCCAAGAAGAAGGAGGAACAGCACGGCGAGGAUUCAACAGAGGGGUGUGGCGGCACGGCACGGUGAUCCUGGUGACGGUCAGCAUGCUGGCAUACUUCUGCUUCCUGGAGCAGCUGCUGGUGGGCGACCACGGCAACGCGGCGGCGGCGCUGGCCGUCUCCGUGCCCUUCGCCGUCGUGCUCGGCACCUUCUCCGCGCUCACCACCGCCGGGAUGGCCUCCUCCCGGUGCUACGUGUGGGCCUACUCGGCGCUGCAGUUCCUGCUCGUCGUCCUCUUCACCCACCUCUUCUACCGCUACGUCAACCUCCAGGCCGUCAUCGCCAUCAUCCUCUCCGCCUUCGCCGGCUUCGGCGUCGCCAUCUGCGCCAACGCCGUGCUGCUCCAGGCCGCCCGCUGGAGGGCCGCCCGCCGCCCCCCGUCGCCGUCGGACCUCGAUAUCCCUCAGCCAUAGACAACAUAGUACAUAUGUAACUCUGCUGCACUCUACUUUCUUACUGUACAUAUAAAAGAUUUUGUGUAUGAAUAUAUGUAGAGAGUAUGAAAUAUACGUAUGUGUAGUAAGAAAAGGGCUUCUUGCUUUUAUUUAUCGAAAUUCUAG